RNAcentral lists this non-coding RNA (32 nucleotides) under Geobacter sulfurreducens PCA. The record is from RNAcentral. Lineage: Bacteria; Pseudomonadati; Thermodesulfobacteriota; Desulfuromonadia; Geobacterales; Geobacteraceae. RNAcentral also lists the same sequence under 1 other name.
AGCUAGGCGACAUCUCGUCUUUUGUCCGUGCC